Molecule: ribosomal RNA, 453 nt
Filed under: uncultured bacterium
Lineage: Bacteria
Description: bacterial SSU rRNA
Rfam family: Bacterial small subunit ribosomal RNA
Source: RNAcentral
GACGACGCUGGCGGCGUGCCUAACACAUGCAAGUCAAGGGUGUAGCAAUACACACUGGCGAACGGGUGAGUAACGCGUAGGUUACCUGCCCUUAUCCCCGACACAACUCAGAGAAAUUUGAGCUAAUAUCGGAUGAGGCAUUUCGAUGUCAAAGGAGCAAUCUGGAUAAGGAGGGGCCUGCGUCUGAUUAGCUAGUUGGUAGGGUAAUAGCUUACCAAGGCGACGAUCAGUAGCUGGUCUGAGAGGAUGAUCAGCCACACUGGAACUGAGACACGGUCCAGACUCCUACGGGAGGCAGCAGUGAGGAAUAUUGGUCAAUGGACGAAAGUCUGAACCAGCGACGCCGCGUGUGGGACGAAGGAGCUUUGCUCUGUAAACCACUGUCGGAAGGGAAAAAAAGAAGUACGAACUUCUGGGAUUGUACCUUCAAAGGAAGGAUCGGCUAACUACGUG